Molecule: transfer RNA, 71 nt
Filed under: Fasciola hepatica (liver fluke)
Lineage: Eukaryota; Metazoa; Platyhelminthes; Trematoda; Plagiorchiida; Fasciolidae
Rfam family: tRNA
About the family: Transfer RNA (tRNA) molecules are approximately 80 nucleotides in length. Their secondary structure includes four short double-helical elements and three loops (D, anti-codon, and T loops).
Source: Rfam by way of RNAcentral
CCCGCGAUAGCUCAGCUGGUAGAGCAUCUGCCCAGUGUGCGGAGCCGCUGGUUCGAUUCCGGCUCACGGCG